CUUUCUAUAUUUGGUAACAAUUUAGCUUAAACUUACAAUUCUACCCUUAAUGAGAAGCUUUUAUAACCACACAAAUACUCUUUCCCCUUUUUGCUUUGUUUAGGACCACAAAUUCCAAAAGUCUUCCUUUCUUAAACUCCGUGCCCAGUCAAAUAGGUUCACAAAAAUUGGAACGGAGGGAGUAAUAGAAAAGUAAGAGUGCUUAUUUAUAGAUAGUGGUUGGUCAUGACUUAAGUUGCGCCAGACUCUUCGUUUUUGGUGCUGCACCUGUCUCGACACGGGACGGGUGCGGGACGUUCCAGAUUUGGUCAACUAAUUUCGGAUACUUUGACCUGAGUCCAUCGACAAAUUUGGGUGAAAAUUGAAAUUUUGAUUAAAAAUAAAAUAGAUUUGAGACAUGGAAAAUGGCAUACCUUCAAUAUUGUAGUACUUUUGUCUCA
This 440-nucleotide long non-coding RNA is filed under the name Nicotiana benthamiana. RNAcentral's name for it is "long non-coding RNA (NBEN_LNC013781)". Lineage: Eukaryota; Viridiplantae; Streptophyta; Magnoliopsida; Solanales; Solanaceae. The record is from RNAcentral.